Molecule: long non-coding RNA, 3783 nt
Organism: Caretta caretta (loggerhead turtle)
Lineage: Eukaryota; Metazoa; Chordata; Testudines; Cheloniidae
Source: RefSeq, a predicted model, not a curated record
AGUUCACCUUCAAGCCCAGCGCAUCACAAGGGGAAAACACUCUGUGAGAAACGAUAUCCCAGCAAACGAGCCAAUGAGCCAGUGCUGAAGUGAUUCUGCAAAGUAAACAAAAGCCUAUAGAACCCAAUAUGGAAAUUUUCAACACAAAAGGGGGAUGUUUUGGAAAGUCACAGGCAUGUCAGAACAAAGUCCAGUGAACAUCUGAAAUGGAUUCUUCUGAAGGUUAGCCCCCAAAAUAAAGUUCAUUCAAACUGUGAGGAAGGAGAUACUGAGUCUGAUGGAGAAGCUGGUUUCUCCUCCUGCUGGUGUUUGCUAUAAUGCAAAUUGGUAAGUACAUAAGAACAGCUGUACUGGGUCAGACCAAAGAUCCAUCUAGCCCAGUAUCUGGUCUUCUGACAGUGGCUGAUGCCAGGUGUCCCAGAGGGAAUGAACAGAACAGAUAAUCCUCACGUGAUCCAUCCCCUGUCGUCCAUUCCCAGCUUCUGGCAAAAAGAGGACACUUCAGAGCAUGGUUUUGCAUCACUUCCCAUCCAGGCUAAUAGCCAUUGAUGGACCUUAUCUCCUAUGAACUUAUCUAUUUUUUUUUUAAACCUUGUUAUGAUCUUGACCUUCACAACACCCUCUGGCAAGAGUUCCACAGGUUGACGGUGUUUUGUGUGAAGAAAUACUUCCUUUGGUUCAUUUUAAACCUGAUGCCUAUUAAUUUCAUUUAGUGACCCCUAGUUCUUGUGCUAUGAGAUGGAGUAAAUAACACUUCUUUAUUUCCUUUCUCUACACCACUCAUGAUUUUACAGACCUCUACCAUAUCCCCCUUAGUCGUCUCUUUUCCAAGCAGAAAAGUCCCAGUCUUAUUAAUCUCUCCUCAUACGGAAGUUGUUCCAUACCCCUAAUUGAUCUGUUCCUGCCCACUCUAUUGCAAAGGAAUGACCACUUGCCAUAGGAUUGCCAAAGGACCCUGAUGAAUCUUGGCUGGAGGCGUUGGCUCAUCAUUUGUCUGGGAGAAACCCGUUUCCCCCCUUCCCAUGUAAGUCUGGGGAACACAUUUUACUCCCACAUUGGUAUGGUCCAUUGAGCGUUUACCAUACAUACACCACGCAGGAAUAUGAAUGAUCAGUGUGAUGUUAGUUUUCCAAAGAUACCUUACAUGACACAAAUCCAAUACAGUGCAUGACAUUAAUGAUAGCCCAGUGGUAAGUUUAAAGUUGCUCUCACAACUGCAGGGCAAGGGAGCUCAAGAAUUCUGAGAAGGGGAGAUUCUCAGCUUCCUAUUGAAAUACACAGCACCUGCCUCUAACCCUGGAAGUUCCCAGAUCUCAGACAAAUGUGCAGAAAAGCUAUUUGAGGUCAUUUUGAAGGUUUUACAGCUCCCAAGGAGCCCUGUGCACUUGGAUUCAUGUCAGUAUUACUGAGGGAGAUUGUUACAUCAAAUUUCAAUAGCUCUUUCUUCAAACCAGAGCAGUUUGCUCCAGCUAUUACAGACAGGCAUUGCUGAGCAAUAAAAAAGAAUGCAGCUUUUCCCUUGUAGUGUCCAGGGAGUUUUCUGUGUGGUGAACAAGCUCUCCCUCUGUCCCCAUCCUGCACAGAGUUUGCAGACCCCUGAUCCAUGGUCCAAACUCACCCCUCUUCCUGGUGUUUGCCUUUAUGGUAACUUAACAACUCUCGGCCUGAGUGUAGCUGUUUCUCGGGUUUCCAUCCAUCCCUAGUCCCCACUCCCUAGAGAGCCCCUUAUACUGCAGGUGGAGUUAACAAGCUGCAGCUGUCCCCAGGAGUCAGGAGAACAUCAGUAGGUCUACGUGGGGCUCCAACUGCUGCUCAGAGAGUGGGUCAACAGCAGUGGUGCAAGUAGCAAUCGUUUCUUGCCGGUACUGCUCUCAUGGGGGGACACAAGGGGGAGCACGUGACCCCAGCCCAAGGCCCCCACACUCUCCCUGUCCCCUUCAACACCCCCCCUUACCUGUCUAAAAUUUUACAACUGUAUCCGUUAAACAGAUGCAGUUGUAAAAUGAUGCUUUGGGCCCCUGGUGCCACCUGUACUUCCAGGAGUCAUUGAAGACUCCUUCCAGCACCCCAAAUUGAAAACUUCUUAAAUGAAAGAAGGAUAGGAAGGACAAUCACCCCACUUUCCCUUAACACACUAUCAAUACCUCCCUUACGUCCAAACUAAGAUUCUGCCAGCUUGCCUUUAUCUAAAUAUCGCUCUCCGCCAGGAAAGCAAAGAUGCUGCACCAUCUGGGUUUGGUGGAAAAGAGGCAUAGAACGGUGUGUGACAUGUACAUCUUGAUAGAACUACAGCCCAAAUUGUUUUAUUAUUUUCCUCAGCAUGACAUACAGGAGGGGCAAUCAAAAUCAGCCAGGUAGAACAUGCAUGAGAACUGUCUCUGGACAGAUAAGCAAUUGAUCAAAAUCACAUUCUCUGAUCUCUUGGAGCCAAAUCCUGUUCCCAUUGAGAUCAAAAGGAGUUUUGUUUUUGAGUUCAAUGGGAACAGGCUUUGACACUUGGCGAGGAAAUAACAAAACCACUUAAGCAAGGGCUAUGUUGCUUAUACCACAGGUAUCAAAGGCUGCUGACUCAUGUGAGACAGUCAGCAGACAUCUGAUCUUUGUUCACUGCAAGGGAGAAAUCAGCAAUCACUGAGGCUAGAACAGUCUCUGUACCAUAUCCGACUCAUAAAUCCAUCUGCAAAGGACCAAGGAAAUAUGAAGGCUCCAGAUUACCUUAAAGCCCUCAGUCCCUUAGUUAGGAUGCUCCCAUUAGUAGAUGUUCAUAGUCCAGAGGCCAGAGCAGGAAAGAGGCCAAACGGAGAUGUUUCCAGACCAGGGCCUUUUAGCUUCUGCCAAGUAAAGGGAAAUCUGGUCUCAUUGUGAAAGAUGGUGUUUGGAGUCACAUGAGCAAGUUACAUGUCCAUCACCCCCACCCAUAGUCUUGUUAGAACGUUCACAAAAAGUCCAUUAGGUGUAGACAGGCAUUUUCCACGGUCCCUUGUGAGCUAAGUGUUCCUUAAUGGGCCACUCAACUUGACUUGUCCUUUCAUGUGCUGGCUAAAUACCUUGUGAUACAUGCAUAGAAAAAGCAUAAUCAUAAGUACCAGCUAUUUCCUGUACAUGACAAUUCCCAAAAGAUUCUGGGGGGGAAAAGAUCACACCACAUGAAAAAUCUGAGACCCUGUGUGCCAGCACCGUGCCCCACUGGAGUUUUGUUAUCGGUUACGUAACAGCAGAGAUGGCAUGAGUGACAGGACUCUGUUUAGCCUAAAUUCCUUCCAGCUGGUGUUCAGAAGCGUGUUACAAGACACAUACAUACCCUCCCCCAUUAUGACCAGCAACAAAAAAAAAAGAAAGAAAAAAGAAAAGAAAUAAUAAAAUCUCAACGAGGCAGAGGUUCACAGAUUUGCAAAUCUAAAAACCUGUGUUAUGCUUCUGUCAUAAAUAUAAAGGGAAGGGUAAACCCCCUUGAAAUCCCUCCUGGCCAGGGGAAAGCUCCUCUCACCUGUAAAGGGUUAAGAAGCUAAAGGUAACCUCGCUGGCACCUGACCAAAAUGACCAAUGAGGAGACAAGAUACUUUCAAAAGCUGGGAGGAGGGAGAGAAACAAAGGGUCUGUCUGUCUGUCUGUAGUCUUCUUUGUCGGGGAUAGACCAGGAAUGGAGUCUUAGAACUUUUAGUAAGUAAUCUAGCUAGGUAUGUGUUAGAUUAUGAUUUCUUUAAAUGGCUGAGAAAAGAAUUGUGCUGAAUAGAAUAACUAUUUCUGUCUGUGUAUCUUUUUUGUAACUUAAGGUUUUGCCUA